Molecule: ribosomal RNA, 2935 nt
Filed under: Brevibacillus laterosporus
Lineage: Bacteria; Bacillati; Bacillota; Bacilli; Caryophanales; Paenibacillaceae
Description: bacterial LSU rRNA
Rfam family: Bacterial large subunit ribosomal RNA
Source: RNAcentral
UGUGGUUAAGUUAAUAAGGGCACACGGUGGAUGCCUUGGCGUUAGGAGCCGAAGAAGGACGCAGCGAACUGCGAUAAGCCUCGGGGAGUGGUAAGCACACUUUGAUCCGGGGAUCUCCGAAUGGGGAAACCCACCAUCUGUAAUGGGAUGGUAUCCUUCACUGAAUACAUAGGUGAUGAGAGGGCAGACCCGGUGAACUGAAACAUCUAAGUAGCCGGAGGAAGAGAAAACAAUAGUGAUUCCGUCAGUAGUGGCGAGCGAACGCGGAAGAGCCUAAACCGUAGGAUUUAUCCUACGGGGUUGUGGGGCGUUUCAUAUAGGAGUUACAAAAGACAGAUGUAGGUGAACAGUUUGGGAAGACUGACCAAAGAGCGUGAUAGUCGCGUAACCCAAACAUCUGUCUCUCCGAGACCAACCCCGAGUAGCGCGGGACACGUGAAAUCCCGUGUGAAUCUGGCAGGACCAUCUGCUAAGGCUAAAUACUACCUAACGACCGAUAGUGAACCAGUACCGUGAGGGAAAGGUGAAAAGCACCCCGGGAGGGGAGUGAAAUAGUACCUGAAACCGUGUGCUUACAAAUAGUCGGAGCACUUUCUAUGUGUGACGGCGUGCCUUUUGUAGAAUGAACCGGCGAGUUACGAUAGCGUGCGAGGUUAAGUCGAAGAGACGGAGCCGUAGCGAAAGCGAGUCUGAAUAGGGCGAAAGUACGUUGUCGUAGACCCGAAACCGUGUGAUCUAGCCAUGUCCAGGGUGAAGGUAGGGUAACACCUACUGGAGGCCCGAACCCACGCACGUUGAAAAGUGCGGGGAUGAGGUGUGGCUAGCGGUGAAAUUCCAAUCGAACUCGGAGAUAGCUGGUUCUCCCCGAAAUAGCUUUAGGGCUAGCCUCGGAAUAAAGAGUCUUGGAGGUAGAGCACUGAUUGGACUAGGGGCCCUCAUCGGGUUACCGAAUUCAGUCAAACUCCGAAUGCCAAGUACUUAUGUCCGGGAGUCAGACGGUGAGUGCUAAGAUCCAUCGUCAAAAGGGAAACAGCCCAGACCAUCAGCUAAGGCCCCCAAGUGUAUGUUAAGUGGGAAACGAUGUGGAGUUGCCCAGACAACCAGGAUGUUGGCUUAGAAGCAGCCACCAUUUAAAGAGUGCGUAAUAGCUCACUGGUCGAGUGACUCUGCGCGGAAAAUGUAACGGGGCUAAACAUACCGCCGAAGCUAUGGCAGUCCUUACGGACUGGGUAGGGGAGCGUUCCAAGCAGCAGUGAAGCCGUAUCGUGAGGAGCGGUGGAGCGCUUGGAAGUGAGAAUGCCGGUGUAAGUAGCGAAAAGACAAGUGAGAAUCUUGUCCACCGAAAGCCUAAGGUUUCCUGGGGAAGGCUCGUCCUCCCAGGGUUAGUCGGGACCUAAGCUGAGGCCGAAAGGCGUAGGCGAUGGACAACUGGUUGAUAUUCCAGUACCACCUCUGUUCCGCUUGAGCAAUGGCGUGACGCAGGAGGAUAGGGUGAGCGGCCUAUUGGAUGGCCGUCUAAGCAGUAAGUGUGGUGUGUAGGCAAAUCCGCACACCAUCAAGCACAAGCUGUGAUGGCGAGGGAAAUAUAAGUACCGAAGUCCCUGAUUUCACACUGCCAAGAAAAGCGUCUAGCGAGGAACAAGGUGCCCGUACCGCAAACCGACACAGGUAGGCGAGGAGAGAAUCCUAAGGUGCGCGGGAUAACUCUUGCUAAGGAACUCGGCAAAAUGGCCCCGUAACUUCGGGAGAAGGGGCGCCUCGGUAGGGUUUAUAGCCCGAGGAGGCCGCAGUGAAAAGGCCCAAGCGACUGUUUAGCAAAAACACAGGUCUCUGCGAAGCCGCAAGGCGAAGUAUAGGGGCUGACGCCUGCCCGGUGCUGGAAGGUUAAGGGGAUGAGUUAGCGCAAGCGAAGCUUUGAACCGAAGCCCCAGUAAACGGCGGCCGUAACUAUAACGGUCCUAAGGUAGCGAAAUUCCUUGUCGGGUAAGUUCCGACCCGCACGAAAGGCGUAACGACUUGGGCGCUGUCUCGGCAAGAGACCCGGUGAAAUCAUAAUACCUGUGAAGAUGCAGGUUACCCGCGACAAGACGGAAAGACCCCAUGGAGCUUUACUGUAGCCUGGUAUUGAAACUUUGUGCAUCAUGUACAGAAUAGGUGGGAAGCUGUGAAGCGAGGGCGCCAGCCUUCGUGGAGCUGUCGUUGGGAUACCACCCUUGAUGUACGGAGUUUCUAACUUGCCGCCCUUAUCGGGUGGAAGGACCAUGCCAGGUGGGCAGUUUGACUGGGGCGGUCGCCUCCCUAAAGAGUAACGGAGGCGCCCAAAGGUUCCCUCAGAAUGGUCGGAAAUCAUUCGUAGAGUGUAAAGGCACAAGGGAGCUUGACUGCGAGACCUACAAGUCGAGCAGGGACGAAAGUCGGGCUUAGUGAUCCGGUGGUUCCGCAUGGAAGGGCCAUCGCUCAACGGAUAAAAGCUACCCUGGGGAUAACAGGCUUAUCUCCCCCAAGAGUCCACAUCGACGGGGAGGUUUGGCACCUCGAUGUCGGCUCAUCGCAUCCUGGGGCUGAAGUAGGUCCCAAGGGUUGGGCUGUUCGCCCAUUAAAGCGGUACGCGAGCUGGGUUCAGAACGUCGUGAGACAGUUCGGUCCCUAUCUGUCGCGGGCGUAGGAAGUUUGAGGAGAGCUGUCCUUAGUACGAGAGGACCGGGAUGGACGCACCUCUGGUGCACCAGUUGUCACGCCAGUGGCACAGCUGGGUAGCUAUGUGCGGACGGGAUAAGCGCUGAAAGCAUCUAAGCGUGAAGCCCCCUUCAAGAUGAGACUUCCCAUAGCGCAAGCUAGUAAGACCCCUUAUAGACGAUGAGGUUGAUAGGUUCGGUGUGGAAGUGCAGUAAUGCAUGGAGCUGACGAAUACUAAUCGGUCGAGGACUUAUCCACA